AACGAACGCUGGCGGCAUGCCUAACACAUGCAAGUCGAACGAGACCUUCGGGUCUAGUGGCGCACGGGUGCGUAACGCGUGGGAACCUGCCCUUAGGUUCGGAAUAACUCCCCGAAAGGGGUGCUAAUACCGGAUAAUGUCUUCGGACCAAAGAUUUAUCGCCUUUGGAUGGGCCCGCGUUGGAUUAGCUAGUUGGUAGGGUAAAAGCCUACCAAGGCGACGAUCCAUAGCUGGUCUGAGAGGAUGAUCAGCCACACUGGGACUGAGACACGGCCCAGACUCCUAGGGGAGGAGGAAGGGGGGAAGUGUGAAAAAGGGGGGAAGGCCGGACCGAGAAAUCCCGCGUGAGUGAUGAGGGCCUUGGGGUUGUAAAGUUCUUUUACCCGGGAGGAUAAUGACAGUACGGGAAGAAAAAGCCCCGGCUAACCCCGUG
This 433-nucleotide ribosomal RNA is filed under the name uncultured bacterium. RNAcentral describes it as "partial 16S ribosomal RNA". It matches the Rfam family "Bacterial small subunit ribosomal RNA", at positions 29 to 507 of the family's 1533-position model. The record is from RNAcentral.